AGAAUCAACGCUGGCGGCGUGCCUAACACAUGCAAGUCGAACGAGAAAGUGGAGCAAUCCAUGAGUAAAGUGGCGCACGGGUGAGUAACACGUGACUAACCUACCCUUGAGUGGGGAAUAACUUCGGGAAACCGAGGCUAAUACCGCAUAACACCUACGGGUCAAAGGAGCAAUUCGCUUAAGGAGGGGGUCGCGGCAGAUUAGUUAGUUGGCGGGGUAAUGGCCCACCAAGACGGUGAUCUGUAUCCGGCCUGAGAGGGCGCACGGACACACUGGAACUGAAACACGGUCCAGACUCCUACGGGAGGCAGCAGUGGGGAAUUUGCGCAAUGGGGGAAACCCUGACGCAGCAACGCCGCGUGGAGGAUGAAGUCCCUUGGGACGUAAACUCCUUUCGAUCGGGACGAUUAUGACGGUACCGGAAGAAGAAGCCCCGGCUAACGUUCGCGCCAGCAGCCGC
This 460-nucleotide ribosomal RNA is filed under the name uncultured bacterium. RNAcentral describes it as "SSU rRNA". It matches the Rfam family "Bacterial small subunit ribosomal RNA", at positions 26 to 518 of the family's 1533-position model. The record is from RNAcentral.